GGGGCCGUUGCCUGGCUGCGGGAUGGGGUGAGUGCCGGCGGCAGGUGCCGCGCUCCGCGGGGCGCGGAGCCCAAAUUAGCAGCCGGGAUAUAAAUAACCCCCGCCUCCGCCUUCCCCCUGUGCGCGCGCAGCUGCCCGCCGCUUCACACCCUCUUCCUCCUCCUCCUCACAGGCCGCGGGGGUACCGCGGCUACCAGCGCACCCAACCCCGCUGCCCCGUACCGCGGUGCCCCCGGCGCCGCCUUCUCGCCUCGCCGCGGGGCUCAGGGAUGGGGGGGCCGGUUGAGACCGCAGCGCGCGGCGGCUCGUCGCUUGCCGUUAACACCGGGCCGUGCGGCGCUGGUGGGCGCGGGGCCGCGGGCCUGGGCCCGGGCCCGGCUGCUCGCCUCACGGGGCCCGGCGUUUCCGGGAGGCUGUGCGAGGCGGUGCGGUAGCAAGCCGUCCGCGCUGGUUCCUCGUGUGCAGCGCAGUGGCUGCGGCCGAGGUUGUUAAGCGCUCGCAGGUAGCGGUGGAGGUGCUGCCGAGGGGACUGUGCUUGCUCUUGGCUGCCUGGUUGGUUUCUGGAGCGUUUGGUGCCCAGAGAGGUUGAGGGAGAGGUGAGAGCCGUGCCUGUGGUUACUGUGCCCUAGGGAGAGGGCUGUGAGAGACCCAGAGACGCGUACGUGGAGUCAUGGUGAGGAAGGCUCUCCUUACGUGGUUAAUUCUCAUAAUUAGGAAAUGUGUUUUAAGUACAAAGUAGAAAAGUGACCGUCGUUCUGGUGUAUUUUGAGAACUGCUCUUCUAUGUCACAGAAUGUUAAUUCUUGCAAAGAAAGUUAACGCAAAGCACUCUUUUAAGAAACCUACAUAAAUAAUUCCCAUCCAGUUCUACAAAUAUCAUCUCCCAUCCCUUUGCGUUUCAAAGUAUCCUGUGAUAAAUUAACAUGGGACCUAAACCUAUCAGUGGAAGAGAAAAGGUGGUAAAUCCAAACCAGAUACUCCAAAUUUACUGUCUUCUAAUUUAAUAAUAGUAUGAUCUUUUUUGGCCUAAUUUUCCUAUUGGAAAAUACCGAUUAUUAUGCUACUUAACGUUAGCAUUCGAAAGUGGCCUUAGCUUGAAAGUAGCAAUUGUUUUCUGUUUCCUGAGAAAUACGGUUUAAUUUCUGUAUUAGACAUAACAUUGUUAGAGUUAGUAGGGAGUACCUGAAUCUCCUAUGUAAUAAUGUCAGCCCAGUUAGGAUGAUGAAAGGAGGACAGUGAAAUGCCUUAAAUCCUCAUAAUGCACAAAGUACUUGCACUAAAAUAGAGAAUAUUCCUUCCUUGUAAUGCUUAUAGUAGGAAAUCAGGGGGUUUUCAAGGGGUUGUUGUGUAAGAGCAGUGCUUUGGAGCAGGUUGGAUUGGGGGGGCAGCAGGAUGGGUAAUGUCCUGGUUAAUGCAUUAUGGCUCUGAACUGUUACAACGCUGCAAGGUUCAUAUGGCCAGAACUUUGUUUCUGAAAAAAUAGAUUUCUGAGUCUUAAAAAUCAAAACCUCUUACCCUGUAGAAAGGGAGAAUGCUCAAUCGUGAACAAGGAAGGAUAUAUUGAAAUAUUCACGCUUAGGUGGUUUUUCUUCCUACCAAUGUGUUUAAAUCAUGCAUCUAGUAUGUCUUAGGCAUUUUUGCUAAUAAAUAAUUAAAUCCACUUCUGCAGCAAUUGCAGUAAUGUUACAUCAUGUAAGAAUAUGGUGCUAUUAAUUCACUGUAAGAAAAAAAAAUCACUACUUCCAUAUUGUUUCCUAAGAAAUAUGUUUGUUUUACGUAGCAGGCUUUUUUUGCCUUAUGCUCCCACCAGUGUAGGUAAUAUGUGUUUAUCCCAUACACAAGAAUAUGGACAGAAAAAGGCUUUUGCUGUUUUUCAGUAUGCACAAAUAUUACUGGCUUUGGUGUUGUUACACAAAUGCGGCCUCAUAGAUGAACUGCAGUGGGUAAAACAACUUUAUGUAUGAAAAGAUUACAGUAAAACACUAAUGCGCACAGCCUAAAAUAAAUGUUAAGUAUUUUAUGCUGCAGUACAAUGAUAACUUUUUAUUACAUUUGGGCACUUAGAAAGCUUUAGAAAGUAUUUUGUACCCUCAGCAAGUUUGCCGACGACACCAAGUUGUGUGGUUCGGUUGAUAUGCUGGAGGGAAGGGAUGCCAUCCAGAGGGACCUUGACAUGCUUGUGAGGUGGGCCGAUGCUAACCUUAUGAAGUUUAACCAAGCCAAGUGUAAGGUCCUACACCUGGGUCGGGGCAAUCCCAGGCACUGCUACAGGUUGGGCGGGGAAGAGAUUCAGAGCAGCCCUGCAGAGAAGGACUUGGAGGUGUUGGUUGACGAGAAGCUUAACAUGAGCCUGCUUCAGUGUGUGCUUGCAGCCCAGAAAGCCAACCGUAUCCUGGGCUGCAUCAAAAGCAGUGUGACCAGCAGGUCAAACAAGGUGAUCCUGCCCCUCUACUCUGCUCUCGUGAGACCCCACUUGGAGUACUGUGUACAGUUCUGGUGUCCUCAACAUAAAAAGGACAUGGAGCUGUUGGAGCGAGUCCAGAGGAGGGCCACGAGGAUGAUAAGAGGGCUGGAGCACCUCCCGUAUGAAGACAGGCUGAGAGAGUUGGGGCUGUUCAGCCUGGAGAAGAGAAGGCUGCGUGGAGACCUCAUAGCAGCCUUCCAGUAUCUGAAGGGGGUCUACAAGGAUGCUGGGGAGGGACUCUUCCUUAGGGACUGUAGUGGUAGGACAAGGGGUAAUGGGUUCAAACUUAAACAGGCGAAGUUUAGACUAGAUAUAAGGAGCAAGUUCUUUACAGUGAGGGUGGUGAAGCACUGGAAUGGGUUGCCCAGGGAGGUUGUGGAUGCUCCAUCCCUGGAGGUGUUCAAGGCCAGGUUGGACAGAGCCUUGAGCCACAUGGUUUAGGGCAAGGUGUCCCUGCCCAUGGCAGGGGGGUUGGAACUAGAUGAUCUUAAGGUCCUUUCCAACCCUUACGAUUCUAUGAUUCUAUGAUUGGUUUUUUUUUCCUAGAAGUGAUUGGAUUUGUAAAUUAAUGAGGCCCAAACACACUUGUGAAUAGGAGCUUUUGGGAGAGACCGGAAUCUUUUCACCUUGCUAAUGUGCACAAAUAACCCCAGAUACAAGAUGGUGAAGUGUACUGAAAAAUUAAAAAGGGAGCAGUAAAAUUCUGCCAACUAUCUCAUCUUGAUGUUCCAAAAUUACGUUCCACACUUACAGUUUGAGGUUUUGGUAUGAUUGAUACUGAUGUAUAUAUAUCUUUUUGUGGUAAUACAAAUACUGACAAUAUUCUUUCUGUCUUUGCUGGCAGCAACACUUGAGGCUGUUUAGUGUGCUUUGUUAUAAGCCAUAGAGAACAGAGGAUUUACAACUUCCCGAACAGUAACCACCUCAAUAAAAUGCAAGCGUUCUAGCUCAGGUCUGGACUCAUGUGGGUAUGCUGCAACAAGCAGUUUAGCUAUUUGAGGCUAUUAGAUAAAAGUAAGGUUACAAUUUUUUCCUGCCUCUCCCUCUCCCCCCUCACUCCCUACUUUAGCUCCUCUCUGGUUUGAAGGUAGAUAGUAGUCAUUUUACUAAAACCUUCUGCCGUUGCUUGGACUGUACAGGGUCAUUUGUUUUCCAGAAGCUGCAGGCUGCACUUGCUAACUUGGAGCUAGUGCUGUGAAACUUCAAAGCAUAAGCUCUGUUA
This 3685-nucleotide long non-coding RNA is filed under the name Strigops habroptila (Kakapo). RNAcentral's name for it is "lncRNA (ENSSHBG00005006955.1)". Lineage: Eukaryota; Metazoa; Chordata; Aves; Psittaciformes; Psittacidae. The record is from RNAcentral.